GCAACCUCUAUCUGGUUCACGCGCCAACUUCCAUGUAUACACUGCAGUCUUGAAGCCACAUGAAAGGAUCAUGGCUUUGGAUUUUCCUCACAGUGGACAUCUUUCUCAUGGUUACCAGACUGACACUAAGAAGAUAUCUGCAACUUCAAUAUUUUUUGAGACAAUGCCUUAUAGAUUGGAUGAAAGCACUGGAU
RNA transcript from Zea mays, 194 nucleotides. It is a transcript of the gene named serine hydroxymethyltransferase pseudogene, with no coding region annotated. The transcript has 2 exons. The record is from RefSeq and is marked validated. NCBI's taxonomy places the organism in Eukaryota, Viridiplantae, Streptophyta, Magnoliopsida, Poales, Poaceae.